This 132-nucleotide small RNA is filed under the name Escherichia coli. RNAcentral describes it as "RtT sRNA". It matches the Rfam family "RtT RNA". Rfam says of the family: This family represents a bacterial cis-regulatory element known as RtT RNA. The exact function of RtT is unknown although it is thought that it may be involved in changing the cellular response in relation to amino acid starvation. The record is from RNAcentral. Lineage: Bacteria; Pseudomonadati; Pseudomonadota; Gammaproteobacteria; Enterobacterales; Enterobacteriaceae.
AUUCUGCCCAUGCGGGGAAGGAUGAGAACCUUCGACUAAGGUUCGAUUCGAGCGAAAGCGAGAGAACGUUGCCACAGGCAACGGCCCGAAGGGUGAGGAGCGAAGCGACGAAUAAUCCUUCCCCCACCACCA